Molecule: ribosomal RNA, 434 nt
Filed under: uncultured soil bacterium
Lineage: Bacteria
Description: bacterial SSU rRNA
Rfam family: Bacterial small subunit ribosomal RNA
Source: RNAcentral
AGGACGAACGCUGGCGGCGUGCCUAAUACAUGCAAGUAGAACGCUGAAGAGAGGAGCUUGCUCUUCUUGGAUGAGUUGCGAACGGGUGAGUAACGCGUAGGUAACCUGCCUUGUAGCGGGGGAUAACUAUUGGAAACGAUAGCUAAUACCGCAUAACAAUGGGCGACACAUGUCAUUUAUUGAAAGGGGCAAUUGCUCCACUACAAGAUGGACCUGCGUUGUAUUAGCUAGUAGGUGAGGUAACGGCUCACCUAGGCGACGAUACAUAGCCGACCUGAGAGGGUGACUCGGCCACACGUGGGGACUGGAGACCACGGCCCAGACCUCCGUAGGGAGCAGCAGUAGGAUCGUGGCAAGUCGGGCAACCGUGACCGAGACACGCCGCGUGAGUAGAAGGUAAGGUUUCGGAUACGUAACGUCGUCGUUGUUAGUAA